RNAcentral lists this ribosomal RNA (1434 nucleotides) under Maribacter stanieri. Its description in RNAcentral is "bacterial SSU rRNA". It matches the Rfam family "Bacterial small subunit ribosomal RNA". Lineage: Bacteria; Pseudomonadati; Bacteroidota; Flavobacteriia; Flavobacteriales; Flavobacteriaceae. The record is from RNAcentral.
GCUAGCGGCAGGCCUAACACAUGCAAGUCGAGGGGUAACAGGGAGCUUGCUCCGCUGACGACCGGCGCACGGGUGCGCACCGCGUAUGGAACCUACCUUGUACAGGGGAAUAGCCCAGGGAAACUUGGAUUAAUGCCCCGUGGUACCAUGACCCGGCAUCGGGAUAUGGUUAAAGCCUUCGGGCGGUACAAGAUGGCCAUGCGUCCCAUUAGUUUGUUGGUAAGGUAACGGCUUACCAAGACUACGAUGGGUAGGGGCCCUGAGAGGGGGAUCCCCCACACUGGUACUGAGACACGGACCAGACUCCUACGGGAGGCAGCAGUGAGGAAUAUUGGACAAUGGAGGAGACUCUGAUCCAGCCAUGCCGCGUGCAGGAAGAAUGCCCUAUGGGUAGUAAACUGCUUUUAUACGGGAAGAAAAAGAGCUACGUGUAGCUUACUGACGGUACCGUAAGAAUAAGGACCGGCUAACUCCGUGCCAGCAGCCGCGGUAAUACGGAGGGUCCGAGCGUUAUCCGGAAUUAUUGGGUUUAAAGGGUCCGUAGGCGGGCCGAUAAGUCANGGGUGAAAGUUUGCCGCUUCAACGGUAAACUUGCCUUUGAUACUUGUCGGUCUUGAGUUAUAUGAAAGUUGCCGGAAUAUGUAGUGUAGCGGUGAAAUGCAUAGAUAUUACAUAGAACACCGAUUGCGAAGGCAGGUGACUAACUAUAUACUGACGCUGAUGGACGAAAGCGUGGGGAGCGAACAGGAUUAGAUACCCUGGUAGUCCACGCCGUAAACGAUGGAUACUAGCUGUCCGGAACCUUGAGUUCUGGGCGGCCAAGCGAAAGUGAUAAGUAUCCCACCUGGGGAGUACGUUCGCAAGAAUGAAACUCAAAGGAAUUGACGGGGGCCCGCACAAGCGGUGGAGCAUGUGGUUUAAUUCGAUGAUACGCGAGGAACCUUACCAGGGCUUAAAUGCAUAUUGACAGGUCUAGAGAUAGAUUUUCCUUCGGGCAAUUUGCAAGGUGCUGCAUGGUUGUCGUCAGCUCGUGCCGUGAGGUGUCAGGUUAAGUCCUAUAACGAGCGCAACCCCUACCGUUAGUUGCCAGCAUGUCAUGAUGGGGACUCUAACGGGACUGCCGGUGCAAACCGUGAGGAAGGUGGGGAUGACGUCAAAUCAUCACGGCCCUUACGUCCUGGGCCACACACGUGCUACAAUGGCAGGUACAGAGAGCAGCCAUGUCGCAAGGCAGAGCGAAUCUAUAAAACCUGUCACAGUUCGGAUCGGGGUCUGCAACUCGACCCCGUGAAGCUGGAAUCGCUAGUAAUCGGAUAUCAGCCAUGAUCCGGUGAAUACGUUCCCGGGCCUUGUACACACCGCCCGUCAAGCCAUGGAAGCCGGGAGUGCCUGAAGUCCGUCACCGUAAGGAGCGGCCUAGGGCAAGGAUCGGUA